UUCCGGUUGAUCCCGCCGGACCUGACUGCUAUCGGAUUGAUACUAAGCCAUGCGAGUCUUUGUAGUAAUACAAGGCAUACGGCUCAGUAACGCGUAGUCAACCUACCCUAUGGACAAGAAUAAUCUCGGGAAACUGAGCAUAAUUCUUGAUAGAUCAUAAUGCCUGGAAUGGUUUAUGGUUGAAAUGAUUCGUCGCCAUAGGAUGGGACUGCGGCCUAUCAGCUUGUUGGUGAGGUAAUGGCCCACCAAGGCGAUUACAGGUACGGGCUCUGAGAGGAGAAGCCCGGAGAUGGGUACUGAGACAAGGACCCAGGCCCUAUGGGGCGCAGCAGGCGAGAAAACUUUGCAAUGUGCGAAAGCACGACAAGGUUAAUCCGAGUGAUUUCUGCUAAAGGAAUCUUUUGCAAGUCAUAAAACCACUAGUGAAUAAGGGGUGGGCAAGUUCUGGUGUCAGCCGCCGCGGUAAAACCAGUACCUCAAGUGGUCAGGAGGAUUAUUGGGCCUAAAGCAUCCGUAGCCGGCUCUGUAAGUUUUCGGUUAAAUCCAUGUGCUCAACGCAUGGGCUGCCGAAAAUACUGCAUGGCUAGGGAGUGGGAGAGGUAGACGGUACUCAGUAGGAAGGGGUAAAAUCCUUUGAUCUAUUGAUGACCACCUGUGGCGAAGGCGGUCUACCAGAACACGUUCGACGGUGAGGGAUGAAAGCUGGGGGAGCAAACCGGAUUAGAUACCCGGGUAGUCCCAGCUGUAAACGAUGCAGACUCGAUGAUGCAUUGGCAUAUAGCCAGUGCAGUGUCGCAGGGAAGCCGUUAAGUCUGCCGCCUGGGAAGUACGUACGCAAGUAUGAAACUUAAAGGAAUUGGCGGGGGAGCACCACAAGGGGUGAAGCCUGCGGUUCAAUUGGAGUCAACGCCGG
This 913-nucleotide ribosomal RNA is filed under the name uncultured marine archaeon. RNAcentral's name for it is "bacterial SSU rRNA". It matches the Rfam family "Archaeal small subunit ribosomal RNA", at positions 1 to 921 of the family's 1478-position model. The record is from RNAcentral.